RNAcentral lists this unclassified non-coding RNA (253 nucleotides) under Capnodiales sp. RNAcentral's name for it is "partial contains 5.8S ribosomal RNA, internal transcribed spacer 2, and large subunit ribosomal RNA". Lineage: Eukaryota; Fungi; Ascomycota; Dothideomycetes; Capnodiales. The record is from RNAcentral.
CGCACAUUGCGCCCUUUGGCAUUCCGAAGGGCAUGCCCGUUCGAGCGUCAUUAAAUCCACUCAAGCCUGGCUUGGUGUUGGGCGCCGGGAGACCUCCCGCGCCCCCAUUUCGCCGGCUGGCCGUCGUUUGACUUAGCGUUGUGACACAUGUCGCUGACGACGACGACGGACGCGCCGUAAAACCCCCUUGGACGUCCCCGGACAUCCAGUAAAGGUUGACCUCGGAUCGGGUAGGAAUACCCGCUGAACUUAA